CCACCAUGCCAGUUCUUGGCUCACUCACUAGACUCCCCUAACUUUUGCUGCAUCAACAGCUGCGCACUUGCAACUUCAACCCAGAUCAUGGUGGGCGAAUGGCAGGAUCAUCUUCAUGGUUCUUGAGAUCAGGAGCAGCAUAUGCAGCAUGAGGAUGGAGAAAAAUGGCUGGGCUGUUCCUUCUCCUCCUCCUCCUCCUCCUCCCCAAGAACUCCUCAGUUUGUCCAUGCCUUUCAUGGGCUAAUUCCCUGGACUCCAGAAUCUCUGGGUGGGUGGGCUUAGGGAGGUAUGAAACAAACCGGCAAGUCAUAAAUCGGCAAUGGUGAGCUCCGGCAGGAGUCUACUCCUCAGUUACCAAAUUUAUUUUCAUUCCCUUGUAACCUCUAUUCCAGUUGUUUCUACUUUCUGUUGUUCCCUCUUACAAAGGCCAUUCCAAUUGCAUCUUGUGGAAGCAGACAAAAUGUUGUCUCGGUGUAGUAUUGUUUUGUGGAGUCAAUAGUUGCGUGUAUGUUGCUUGGGAACACUUUAUUGUGAGAUGCUCAUAUGAGGUCGGUAGUGGAAGUACCUAAGGCCAUUCUGUUUCUCUGCAGCUCAGUCAUAAAUGUGUUGCUCUGUGAUAUAGCAAGAACAAGAAGAACAUGUAUCAAAUGUGAUCUUCUAGAGUACUGCACAAUCAGUACUGCAGAGGAUCUGAACUCAACAUGUAUGUGUUGCAGAGGAUCUGAACUCAA
This is a long non-coding RNA of Oryza brachyantha (malo sina), 731 nucleotides long. RefSeq lists it as uncharacterized. The transcript is spliced from 2 exons. The record is from RefSeq and is a predicted model, not a curated record. NCBI's taxonomy places the organism in Eukaryota, Viridiplantae, Streptophyta, Magnoliopsida, Poales, Poaceae.